CAGGGAGACAAAAAAUAGAUUGUGUUGCUUGAGUAGAUUUAAUCUCAAGCCAUAAUCCUGUCACCUUAGGUCGAUCGGUACCUCAAAUUAAUAGAAGUUUCUAUCGGAAAUCUGAUAUUGAUUUCAGUUCCUAAACUUGUCUAGGUCACACCCAAAUGAGGGUACUCCUGGGCCAUUAGCUCAGGUGGUUAGAGCGCACCCCUGAUAAGGGUGAGGUCCCUGGUUCAAGUCCAGGAUGGCCCAUUCGGUUUUGGGGGUAUAGCUCAGUUGGUAGAGCGCCUGCUUUGCAAGCAGGAUGUCAGCGGUUCGAGUCCGCUUACCUCCACUGAUCGAAGACCUCCUGAUUCAUGAAACCCAGGAGAAUAUUGUUUGGUGUGAUUUAGAAUUUAGUUAUAUCUGAAAUGAUCCUAGCUUCCUGUCAUACCUUCUUCUAAAAAAGAAUUUAGAUAAGCUUGAUAAGAUGCUGGGCUCACUACAUUCGCAAGUUUUGUAGAUGUAGUUCAGUAGAACCUUGACAACUGCAUAGGUGAGUCUGGAAAAGAAUAAAGCAUCUCAUAGAUGCAUGAUUCUUUUAAAUCAAUAACUUGAAUUCCAAUUGGCAAUUCUUUGUUUUGAUUUGGAAGAAUAAUGUUCAAUUCUUAAGAUUAAGACUGAACUCUGUACUCUGAUUUGAUAUUUAUUUUCUAAAUAUCAUUAACAACAAUUUAAUUGCUUUAACUAUUGCUUUUAAUUGUUUUAUUGCAUUAAUUGCGGAUCAUUACAGAGGAAAAU
RNAcentral lists this transfer RNA (771 nucleotides) under uncultured cyanobacterium. RNAcentral's name for it is "partial 16S-23S ribosomal RNA intergenic spacer". The stretch from base 253 to 325 matches the Rfam family "tRNA". Lineage: Bacteria; Bacillati; Cyanobacteriota. The record is from RNAcentral.